UCCUCGGUAGCUCAAUGGUAGAGCAUUCGGCUGUUAACCGAAGGGUUGUAGGUUCGAAUCCUACCCGGGGAGCCA
This 75-nucleotide transfer RNA is filed under the name Candidatus Aquicultor secundus. RNAcentral's name for it is "tRNA-Asn". It matches the Rfam family "tRNA". From Rfam's summary of the family: Transfer RNA (tRNA) molecules are approximately 80 nucleotides in length. Their secondary structure includes four short double-helical elements and three loops (D, anti-codon, and T loops). The record is from RNAcentral. RNAcentral also lists the same sequence under 8 other names. Lineage: Bacteria; Bacillati; Actinomycetota; Candidatus Aquicultoria; Candidatus Aquicultorales; Candidatus Aquicultoraceae.